RNAcentral lists this ribosomal RNA (239 nucleotides) under uncultured bacterium. Its description in RNAcentral is "partial 16S ribosomal RNA". It matches the Rfam family "Bacterial small subunit ribosomal RNA", at positions 532 to 770 of the family's 1533-position model. The record is from RNAcentral.
UGGCGAGCGUUAUCCGGAAUGAUUGGGCGUAAAGGGUGCGUAGGCGGCCUGCUAAGUCUGGAGUGAAAGGUACCGGCUCAACCGGUACAGGCUCUGGAAACUGGCGGGCUAGAGAGCAGGAGAGGGCGGUGGAACUCCAUGUGUAGCGGUAAAAUGCGUAGAUAUAUGGAAGAACACCAGUGGCGAAGGCGGCCGCCUGGCCUGUUGACUGACGCUGAGGCACGAAAGCGUGGGGAGCA